GACGAACGCUGGCGGCGUGCUUAACACAUGCAAGUCGAGCGGUAAGGCCCUUUCGGGGGUACACGAGCGGCGAACGGGUGAGUAACACGUGGGCGACCUGCCCUCCAGCUCUGGGAUAAGCCUGGGAAACCGGGUCUAAUACCGGAUAUGACUCCAUGACGCAUGUUGUGGGGUGGAAAGCCUUGUGCGGCUGAGGAUGGGCCCGCGGCCUAUCAGCUUGUUGGUGGGGUGAUGGCCUACCAAGGCGACGACGGGUAGCCGGCCUGAGAGGGCGACCGGCCACACUGAGACUGAGACACGGCCCAGACUCCUACGGAGGCAGCAGUGGGGAAUCUUGCGCAAUGGGCGAAAGCCUGACGCAGCGACGCCGCGUGAGGGAUGACGGCCUGGUGUAACUC
This 398-nucleotide ribosomal RNA is filed under the name uncultured bacterium. Its description in RNAcentral is "bacterial SSU rRNA". It matches the Rfam family "Bacterial small subunit ribosomal RNA", at positions 28 to 431 of the family's 1533-position model. The record is from RNAcentral.